This 2308-nucleotide long non-coding RNA is filed under the name Gossypium barbadense (sea-island cotton). Its description in RNAcentral is "long non-coding RNA (GBAR_LNC002009)". Lineage: Eukaryota; Viridiplantae; Streptophyta; Magnoliopsida; Malvales; Malvaceae. The record is from RNAcentral.
UAGACUUUUAUAAAUAAAAACAAAAAAUAUCAACAGUACUAGACUGAAGUCCAUUAGCAAAAGCCUAUUAAACAAAAAUAAAAGAAAAAAUGGGCCUAGAUCACACAGAAAUGUCUCAUAACUUAAAACUUAACUAAAACAGAAAAAGGAAACCUAAUCUUAUCCUAUACCAGUGGAAAUCAACAGCUGGAUACCAUUAGUCAGUGUCCGUUCACUUCACCGAUCCAGCUUUAAUGAUAGCAGUUUUCAAAAUAUCUUUUAAUCUUCUGCUACCCAUUUCCAAAGGAGUACAUCUUACUUUUUCUUUCAAUCUAGUUGCCUUGGUCGAAGUUUCUCUAGCGUACAACAAACGUAAUCUGGAACUCCAACCAACAGGUAAUGACUUUCUCCCUUCUUUAUAGCCUUUUUCACAAGAACAUGGGCAUAUUAUUCUCUAUUUUAGGGAUAAAAUGAAACCCUAUCUCUUGAAAUUCUGCCUUUUUGCUUUGGAUGUCUCUGAUGAGUGCUCCAAUGGCCAAUUUGUCAAAAUCUGUACUUUGGCAUUUCUUUAUUACAGUUUUUGAGUCUCCCAUUAUUUCUAGAUUGUUGAAGCCCAUGUAAAUUCCUAAUCUCAUGGGUUGUAAUCUUGUAUGUGCAUUCGCCGUAAACGGAGUUGCUAUAUCGGAGUGAAUGACCGUCUUUGAUGCCAAGAUCUCGCUCCUCACAUCUCGUACUAUCAGACCCGAAGCAGAUUUGAAAGAUUGUUGGUCAAAGGCUACAUCAAAAAAGAUUGCAACCUUUGUUCUUCGAUUAACAUGUUUAGGGCCUCUGUCAACUUGAAAGGUGAGUUUAUUCUCUUUUAUACCAUCAAACUCAAAGAUGUAACUACAUAUUUGCUUUGAGAUGUCUCUUCCUGUCGUAUUUUUCCUUUAAUACAUUAACCGAUUUCUAUUGGAACAGAUUAACCAAAGCCCACAACAGAAAAGUUGACACUGUUCACUAGUCCCCCGACUAAAAACCCAGGUAAGCCAUUCCCACAUAUUGUGAAUGUCGUUAUUAUGGACCCAGAAAAGAUUUAAAUAACUCCAAACAUCACUGUUGUAGGACACUGUCAAAAUAUAUGAUUACUAUCUUCCUUAUAUUGGCGACACCGAGGGCAAUAAUCGUCCACAGCCACUUUCUUAUGCUUGAGGUUAAUAAGAGUAGGAAUAAAACUCCAUGAGAUUCUUCAUACUGUAAUUGUAACUUUUGAGGGAAUGUAUAAAUUCCGUAGCUUUCUGUAGAAUUUUUUGUUUCAGCCUGUAUAAUAUAAUUACUAGGACCCAAGUUAGUCUCCUGUAAUAGUUUAUAGGCACUUAUAACUAAGAAAUCACCAGACUAUUCUUCUCUCCACACUUGAAAAUCAUCAUAUGCUAUCUCUGCCCAAGGAAUCUGCAUGAUUUUCUUUGCAAUAUCCGUUUGAAAGGUAUUCAUAAUAACAUCUGUUUUCCAAGUCCUGUUAUUAGCCUUAAUCAAAUCCAAUACUAACUUGAUGUUUUCUUUGUUGUCUUGAUUCUGUAAUCUAUCUGCUUCAUCCCAUCUUUUAGUAGCUUAUUCAAACAAAAUGCAAUCAUCUACAAAUAGUAGAUGAGAAAUAUGUGGCUCACUUUUACUUGCUUUUACUCCACUAAGUAUUUUUCUUUCAUUGCAAUCGUCAUAAGACUAGAGAGGCAUUUCCCACAAAAUAAAAAUAGAAACAGACUCAAAGGAUCUCCUGUCUUAGUCCUCUAGUUGGAUGAAAAGUUUCUCCAAUGUGUCUAUUGAAAACCACCGAAUACGAUACUGUAGAUACGUAUUUCAUUAAAGAAUCAACCCAUCCUGAAUCAAAACCCAUUCUCAUUAUUUUUUCCACAAAAUUCCAUUUGACCCUGUCGCACCGCGAUAAACCAUUUUUUCCCUACCUUCUUGUGCUUUAAUGUGUGUAAAAUUUCAUAAUCCAGUAACACAUUAUCAAAAAUCAACCUCUGAUGCACAAAAGCACUUUGUGCUAAAUUAGUACAUUUAUCAACCACUACCCUAAUUUGAUUAGCAAUGACCUUAACUAUCAAUUUAUAAAGCACAAUACAUAAGCUAAUUGGUCUAAAUUGAGUAAUACUUGAAGGGUUUGAAAUUUUCGGUAUUAGCACAAUAUUUGUUUUAUUGGUCGAAUUUAUAUUCAUACCUCCAUUUAGUCGUUGAAGACAAAAGGCUAAAACAUAUUCUCCGAUGAUCGACCAACACUUCUGAUAAAAUAAGGAUGGAAAGUCAUCCUCUCCUGGUGCUUUUGUGGAACCUAAUUUUGAUAAUGCUU